This is a long non-coding RNA of Portunus trituberculatus (swimming crab), 347 nucleotides long. RefSeq lists it as uncharacterized. The transcript is spliced from 4 exons. Lineage: Eukaryota; Metazoa; Arthropoda; Malacostraca; Decapoda; Portunidae. The record is from RefSeq and is a predicted model, not a curated record.
GAAAAAACACGUCAGAAACCCGCCGUUGUUGGCUUGAAGUGUUGGCAUAACAGUUUUUGAACAUUUGUACAACAGAGGUGCACCAUGGCUUGCCACAAUGUCACAAUGGGUCCUUGGAGAGCCGCUGGUGGUGACGCGCUGCCUGUGUGCUCUCUGCUACAAUACACCACUCACCAAGUUCCAGAGGGAGAGGAUCACCAGCUACCACCAGCUGACUAAAGGAAGUGUUUCUAUUUAAGGAUGGAACAUGGCAACUGCACCAGCUGGGACAAACCUAGCCAACUAUUGUGUUAAGAUAUGGAGAAAGACAGACCAAGGCAAGAAGAGGAGGAGGAGGAGGAGGAGGA